CAGUCGCCGCGGGAAUACGUAGGGUGCGAGCGUUAAUCGGAAUUACUGGGCGUAAAGCGUGCGCAGGCGGUUAUAUAAGACAGAUGUGAAAUCCCCGGGCUCAACCUGGGACCUGCAUUUGUGACUGUAUAGCUAGAGUACGGUAGAGGGGGAUGGAAUUCCGCGUGUAGCAGUGAAAUGCGUAGAUAUGCGGAGGAACACCGAUGGCGAAGGCAAUCCCCUGGACCUGUACUGACGCUCAUGCACGAAAGCGUGGGGAGCAAACAGGAUUAGAUACCCGAGUAGUCCCUGUCUCUUAUAC
Molecule: ribosomal RNA, 301 nt
Filed under: uncultured bacterium
Lineage: Bacteria
Description: partial 16S ribosomal RNA
Rfam family: Bacterial small subunit ribosomal RNA
Source: RNAcentral